UCCGCAGGUAAGGAAAAUGCCUGUUCGCAGCACUGCCGAAGACUACGCAGAUGAGACAUGGUACCCUCACCUCUGUCAGCCUGAUGUCCUCCCGUCAUGUUCAGUGAGUGUUCCAUAACAUCGCUCCGCUUCAUCAGAGCUUGUGUUGAGGUAAUCAAGGGUUUUGUAUAAAAGAACCGAAGUUUGUGUCACACACACAGUGGAGUGUGUGUUGUGUGCCGAAUAAUGAGCCGAAUCCAGCCAGAGCUCCUCAAGAGACAGGUGGUCCUGCAUCUGUGGAAUUACCUGCCCUGUUCCAAAGCCAAUGAAACAAGGGCAAAGUUUCUCAGGUCUGCCAUCUUACUUUGACUGCAGUGUCACUCUGAUGUGAUUGCAUAAGCCUGACGUAAUGCACAGAACCAUGCAGCUGUGGUCUGGGUUUCUUCUGGAUUUGUUUGCAGCACAACAUUCUGCCUUCUCCUUUGAGUUACUUUUGAAUGUUAAGAUGUUAUGAAGAACAGUCAAUAGAAAAAGCAGGGGAAAAAAGCA
Molecule: long non-coding RNA, 528 nt
Organism: Sinocyclocheilus anshuiensis
Lineage: Eukaryota; Metazoa; Chordata; Actinopteri; Cypriniformes; Cyprinidae
Exons: 3
Source: RefSeq, a predicted model, not a curated record